CAUUAAUUGACCCUGUGAGUGAUCUAGAUUUGUGGUUCUGUUUCUUAAGAUGGAAUUUAGCAAUGCCAGUUUCUGAUCUCAUUCUUGUGAAGGUUGGUGAAGCCCUCGUUGGGUUUGUUUUAAGUUUUAAAGUUUUUGAUAAACUUUGUAUUUUAAGUUUUGAGAAAUUGGUUUGGUUCUCAAAUGUGUUAUGGUGAAUCUAAAAGCUUGGCUGAUUGUGAAAUGAUAUUUUAAUCGCUGAUGUUGUGAAACUUUAUAUUUUUAAGUUUUGAGAAAUCUGAAUUUUGGGUUUGGUUCUCAAAUGUUUUAUUGUGAGUCUGGAGACUGAUUCUAUGUUGUACGUUGCCUGUUACAUCUUCCUUUUGCUCUUUGUUUGGAAUACUAUUGUUUGGAUCAUUUAAAAUGAUAUUUUCCAGUUAAUUCUGGUUUGAUUCAAAUGAAUGUGAUUGUUGCAGGUUUUGUAAUCCACGCUUUAGAGUGAAUCAAGGAAGAUGAGUCUCUCAUGGUGUUUCAGAACAAAGUGUAUAAAGGUUGUGAUUCUUGCAGGUUUUGGAUUCUUGAUUUUAAUUUAGUAAUCCCCAUUUUGAGUUUUUAAAUUGUAUAAAGGUUGUGUUUUUGUAACUUUGCAGUAUGGUAUUGGGAUCAUACGCACAUUUCAUGUGGGAAACAGAGGAGGAUGAAGUUGAUGGUGUACACUGAAGAGUAAUAAAUAUGUGUAACACAAAGAAUGUAAAAAUCUUAAAACAGAAUAAAAUGACUUCAGUAAAGCUUUUGUAUUAAAGAUUAGAUGGCUAUUUGGAAACUGAAAUUAAGAAAUUAGCUAGUUCUUUAUCGGAAUUUUGAAACUAAAGCGGAUCAUUCGUUGACUAUAUGAGAAGAACAAAAACGAGAAG
RNAcentral lists this long non-coding RNA (893 nucleotides) under Eutrema salsugineum. RNAcentral's name for it is "long non-coding RNA (ESAL_LNC000796)". Lineage: Eukaryota; Viridiplantae; Streptophyta; Magnoliopsida; Brassicales; Brassicaceae. The record is from RNAcentral.